UACAGAGGGUGCAAGCGUUAAUCGGAGUUACUGGGCGUAAAGGGCGCGUAGGCGGAUUAUUAAGUUAGAUGUGAAAUCCCUGGGCUUAACCUAGGAAUGGCAUUUAAGACUGGUAAUCUGGAGUACUGUAGAGGGUAGUGGAAUUUCCGGUGUAGCGGUGAAAUGCGUAGAGAUCGGAAGGAACACCAGUGGCGAAGGCGGCUACCUGGACAGAUACUGACGCGGAGGCGCGAGAGCGUGGGGAGCAAACAGG
RNAcentral lists this ribosomal RNA (253 nucleotides) under uncultured bacterium. RNAcentral's name for it is "partial 16S ribosomal RNA". It matches the Rfam family "Bacterial small subunit ribosomal RNA", at positions 524 to 776 of the family's 1533-position model. The record is from RNAcentral.